This 2414-nucleotide ribosomal RNA is filed under the name Bifidobacterium sp. wkB344. RNAcentral describes it as "partial 23S ribosomal RNA". It matches the Rfam family "Bacterial large subunit ribosomal RNA", at positions 395 to 2690 of the family's 2925-position model. The record is from RNAcentral. Lineage: Bacteria; Bacillati; Actinomycetota; Actinomycetes; Bifidobacteriales; Bifidobacteriaceae.
CCGGUUCUUGUUCCCAAGUAGCGCGGGACUCGUGGAAUCCCGUGUGAAUCGGCCCCGACCGUGGGGUAAGCCUGAAUAUUCCUGUCUGACCGAUAGCGUACGAGUACCGUGAGGGAAAGGUGAAAAGCACCCCGGGAGGGGAGUGAAAGAGUUUCUGAAACCGUGUGCCUACAAUCCGUCGGAGCCUUUCGGGGUGACGGCGUGCCUAUCGAAAAAUGAGUCUGCGAGUCAGUGGUGCGUGGCGAGGCUAACCCGUGUGGGGCAGCCGUAGCGAAAGCGAGUCCGAUAAGGGCGUUCCAGUCGCGUGUCCUGGACCCGAAGCGGGAUGAUCUAGCCCUGGGCAGGUUGAAGCGCGGGUAAGACCGCGUGGAGGACCGAACGGACCUGGGUUGAAAACCGGGCCGAUGACCUGGGGCUAGGGGUGAAAGGCCAAUCAAAUUCCGUGAUAGCUGGUUCUCUCCGAAAUGCAUUUCGGUGCAGCGUCGCGUGAGUGCCUCCAUGGGGUAGAGCUACUGGAUGCUUGAGGGCCCGUAUCGGGUACCGACAGCAGCCAAACUCCGAAUACGUGUGAGGUGUAUCGCGGCAGUGAGUCGGCGGGGGAUAAGCUCCGUCGUCGAGAGGGAGACAGCCCAGAUCGUCGUCUAAGGUCCCUAAGCGCGUGCUAAGUGGGAAAGGAUGUGGAGUCGCAUAGACAGCCAGGAGGUUGGCUCAGAAGCAGCCAUCCUUGAAAGAGUGCGUAACAGCUCACUGGUCUAGUGGUUCCGCGCCGAUAAUGUAGCGGGGCUCAAGCACGCCACCGAAGACGCGGCAGCGCAGUUUGCUGUGCUGGGUAGGAGAGCGUUCCGCGUGGGGCGAAGCGGCGGCGUGAGCCGGCCGUGGACCGCGUGGAAGUGAGAAUGCAGACAUGAGUAGCGAGAGGCGGGUGAGAAUCCCGUCCGCUGGAUGACCAAGGGUUCCGGGGCCACGUUCGUCGUCCCCGGGUGAGUCGGGUCCUAAGGCGAGGCCGACAGGCGUAGUCGAAUGGAUGAAGGAGUCGAUAUUCUCCUACCGGCGUCAAGCCGUCCAAUCCAAGACGUGGAAGCGUGCCCUUACCCGUGUCGGGUGAUGGUCUUCGGACCGUCCGAUGGCAUGGGACCGGCGUGUGGAUGCGUGGCGGGUAGCGCGGGAGUGACACGGAACGGGAGCCGGGCCGCGGUGGUGGUUAUCCGUGGUCAAGCAUGCGGCGCGUCGGGCAGGCAAAUCCGCCCGGCAUGAGCGCGAGGUGUGAUGAUGGGGGGUCUUGUGCCCCGAAUCCGGUGUGCCGUUCCGUCGAGAAAAGCUUCGGCGUGAGGAGUGGCGCCGCCCGUACCCUAAACCGACACUGGUGGUCAGGUAGAGUAUACCAAAGCGAUCGAGCGAAUCCUGGUCAAGGAACUCGGCAAAUCACUCCCGUGCCUUCGGUAUAAGGGAGGCCCCUGCCGGUGAGGCGCCUUGCGCGCGGAGCCGGUGGGGGCGGCACAGACCAGGGGGUAGCGACUGUUUACCAAAAACACAGGUGCAUGCGAAGACGUAAGUCGCUGUAUAUGCACUGACGCCUGCCCGGUGCCGGAAGGUUAAGAGGAUCCGUCAUCCCUCUUCGGAGGGGGCAGCGGUGAAUUCAAGCCCCGGUAAACGGCGGUGGUAACUAUAACCAUCCUAAGGUAGCGAAAUUCCUUGUCGGGUAAGUUCCGACCUGCACGAAUGGCGUAACGACUUCCCCACUGUCUCGACCAGGAGCUCGGCGAAAUUGCAGUACGAGUAAAGAUGCUCGUUAAGCGCAGAAGGACGAAAAGACCCCGGGACCUUUACUAUACCUUGGUAUUGGCGUUAGGUGCGGACUGUGUAGCAUAGGCGGGAGGCUUCGAAGCGGGUGCGCCAGCAUCCGUGGAGCCGGAAUGUGAAAUACCGCUCUGUCCUCAUCUGGCCUCUAACCUCGGCCGGUCAUCCCGGCCAGGGACAGUGCCUGGCGGGUAGUUUAACUGGGGCGGUUGCCUCCCAAAGAGUAACGGAGGCGCCCAAGGGUUCCCUCAGCCCGGUUGGCAAUCGGGUGUUGAGUGCAAUCGCACAAGGGAGCUUGACUGCGAGACCGACGGGUCGAGCAGGGACGAAAGUCGGAGAUAGUGAUCCGGUGCCGGCGUACGGACGCGGCAUCGCUCAACGGAUAAAAGGUACCCCGGGGAUAACAGGCUGAUCAUCCCCAAGAGUCCAUAUCGACGGGAUGGUUUGGCACCUCGAUGUCGGCUCGUCGCAUCCUGGGGCUGGAGCAGGUCCCAAGGGUUCGGCCGUUCGCCGAUUAAAGCGGCACGCGAGCUGGGUUCAGAACGUCGUGAGACAGUUUGGUCUCUAUCCUCUGCGCUCGUUGGAAUCUUGAGGAGCCCUGCCCAUAGUACGAGAGG